UAUAGUUACAAGUGCAUGUACUGAAAAGAUGAGUAUAAGGAGUUGGCAUACACUCACCACAAGCUACAUCAGAGUCACAUCAAUACAACAAUAUACAGUCAUCAUGAAGAAGAGCAGGGUCCGACUAUGGAUGAAAACAAACGAUAAAAGAACGACGUCCAUCCUUGCUAUCCCAGGCUGCCGGCCUCGAACCCAUCCUAGAUCGACGACGACGAAGAAGAAGAAACUCCAAAUAACACAAUCAGCACGAUCACGUCAAAGUAACUCUUUACCUGUACCUGCAACUGGUGUUGUAGUAAUUGGUGAGCCACAGGGACUCAACAAUCUCAUUUCCAAAGGUAUCAAGACUAGCAAAACUUAAAGGGUGAGGUAAGGUUAAGUGGUGAGGCUGCAACAAGCAACUAAGCAUUUAUUUGGGCGGGUAACUUACGAGUACAAGAAUAUUAGGGGGGAUGAUCUACGCACAGCGAACAUGAAAACCGAUGAUCAAAUGAAUGAUCCUGAACACCUACUAACGUCACACAUAACCCCACCAUGUCCUCAGUCGGAGAAGGAGCUCACAAAAGAGACAAUCAUGGUUACGCACUUAGUUGGCAUAUUUUAGUUAAGCUUACUUCAAGUUAUCUAUAACCGGAUGUUAAACAAAGUUUCCAAGUUGCCACAUAACCGCGGGCACGGCUUUCCAAAAGAUUUAACACUGCAGGGAUGCUCCGACUAGUCCAUCACCAACUACCACACGCUGCGACGGAAUAACCUCAAUCAGGGAAAUCCGUGAUCUCCUCGGGUUCCCAUUGGAACACCUCAACCUCGAGAUAACCCAAAGCAUCCUCGGAAUCCCUCGCACAAGACGCUCGAGAAAGGUAAAACAAGUCCAGCAAGGCUGCCCGGCGCGUCGAUGAUCCCGAUAGGAGCCGCGUAUCUCGUUAUCAGGACACGUAGGAUAAGCACAACGUACGGUGGCCUGAUAGAAAUCUCCCGAGUUACCCCGGGUUGGCCCCGCAAACGGCUCUAGUUUGGACCAACACCAGCAGCACUGGCCCCCGUGUAGUAUGUUGUAUUACUCCUCGGGUUCAUGACGCCCUAUGUUUUCAGCAUUAUCAGAAUUAUAAUGCUGGGCAAAUAUAGUACCAAUGUUGGGCCUUGUCAGACGAGCUUUAUCCCAAAACGAGAAUCUAGGGGUCCCCAUAACAACCCAAAGCAUGCUAGGAGCACUCAUUUAUGUAACAUAACACCGGUAGCCGAAACUAAGGUGGCAAAGGUGGAACAAAACACCAGCUAGAAAGGCCCAGCCUUCCACCUUUUACCAAGUAUAUAGGUGCAUUAAAUUAGUUAGCAAUAAAUAGGGUGAUUUAACAAGGAACACAUGUUUGCACAUGGAAGGAACUACACCUGCAACUAGCAACGCCAUCACAUGGUUAAGGAAGCGGUAACAUAGCCAAUCAAUGGUUUGCUAGGUUGUAGAAGGUUGAUGGUUUCAUGGCAUUUUUGACAGUCUCACAUUUAACAUGUGGUAGGCAACGAGACAUAGUGAUAGAAAUGAAACAACUACCAUGACAAUGAUAGUAAUGGUAUCUAGGGAAAUGAUCAUCUUGCGUGAGAUCCUGUUUGGAAGAAGAACGACUCCGUGAAGCAGACGAACCGGCAUAGUCGAACCGGUCCUCACAUUCCGACACGCUCGCGGAACUCUAUCGAGACGAAGCAAACUGGAAACAACAAUCAACACAUAAUUUUCACCACGGCACAUACACGACAUGAUGCAAUUCACAUAUGAUGCAUGAUCACUUUAAAAAUAUGCAAGGCAUGACAUGGCAAUUCACACACUCAAACGCUACACAUUAAGUGAAGCUCAAUAUACAACGAGUUGCAUAUUGACGGUACUUCACAUUUAAUUAUUUAGUUCACUCCCAUUUAUUUACACGACAAUAUUAAAUGUUGUUAAACAUGGCAAGGGUGAAGCACAAAUUAUACUACAUAUCUAGACAUUUUAAAUGAGGUCAGAAACAACCUGUAGCAUCUCCGAAAUGACCCCAUGUGUUAACUUUGUAAUCUGUCCAGAUCUAUCCUAACUUCAUUUUAUGUUUGUUAAACGGAAAAACAAAGUGGUCCACGUGAUUCUACUCGCCGUUCUAGUCCAUUUACAUAUAUGUCUCAUCUCCAACGGAGCUACGGUUAAACAACUACGACCUAAACCAUUAUAGCACGACACGACAUGCAAAACGAGGCAGACAAUUAGGCUAACAGUUGUAAAUAUGCACGAGAGUUGGAAAAAUAUUAAUCUACCCGAAAAUCUACACGUUGUACAUAUACAAUUUGUCGCGAUCCGACGUGUGGAUUAAAAGUAAUAGGUGUUUUAAAAACUAGCAUCUAAUUUGUAAUUCUAAAUGUCUCCGAAAUAGCUAAAUUCGCACAAGGAAAAAAACAAUUAGCAAGCCGAAACCAAGAUUUGGACCGUAUAAAGCAUGAUCGCAGGUUAGCUAAACUACCCAUAGGGCGGGGAAUAGGCAAGCUCACCUCGGGCUGGCGAUGCUGGACACCUGGGCCAACGGGUCUGGCCCACACAAAGGCUGCGACUCGUCCGACGUGGGCGAAGUGGUCGGCCAGCCGCUGGCGGCUGGGCCGAUGCGGGAGGCUGCAUGGUGGGCCGAGGCAGAUCCAGCCCACGGGGGCGAGUAAGGGAGGCGAUGGUCAUUAGUCAACCGUGCUGCUUCGUUCUCGUCCCAACGAAACACAGGUGGCAGCCAUGGCAGGGGAUGGCGGCGAAUGCAGGCUUAGCAAAUGGCAAGGCUAGCAAGGACAGCGGCGCCCCGGCUAGAUCCGGGUGUGACGUGGUCGGGGACACCCAUCUCGGUCGGAUCCAUGGCAAGAUGGUGACCGACGCGUGGGAGACCUCCGAGCUCGCGACAUCGUUCCUACCUGACCAAGGGAGAGAGAGAGACGAGUUGAUAGGAGACACGACAAGAGAGAAGGGAGCAGGGACGAUGGGCACUAGCCUGGAGAUGGACCUAGCCCACGGCGACAACAUGCACCGACGGGGGCGCGGGCGUCAAGCGCGACGGGUCGAGGGGCCCGUCAGUGAGACUCGGGCGCGAGGCCUUCCGCUUCACUGUUGCGGUACUGGGACAGGGACACGAGGCGCGGGGCUGAAAGCGAGGUGGGUGGUCAGGACUGGGUGUCUACUACGCUGCGAUUGGGUCGGCAGGGAAACGACGAAGGGAGCGGCGGCGGGCGAUGGGUCUAGCGUAGGAUGGGACAGAUUUCUAGGGUCCGUUUG
This 3271-nucleotide long non-coding RNA is filed under the name Hordeum vulgare. Its description in RNAcentral is "long non-coding RNA (HVUL_LNC019093)". Lineage: Eukaryota; Viridiplantae; Streptophyta; Magnoliopsida; Poales; Poaceae. The record is from RNAcentral.